Molecule: ribosomal RNA, 2931 nt
Filed under: Escherichia coli
Lineage: Bacteria; Pseudomonadati; Pseudomonadota; Gammaproteobacteria; Enterobacterales; Enterobacteriaceae
Description: 23S ribosomal RNA
Rfam family: Bacterial large subunit ribosomal RNA
Source: RNAcentral
GGGUUGUGAGGUUAAGCGACUAAGCGUACACGGUGGAUGCCCUGGCAGUCAGAGGCGAUGAAGGACGUGCUAAUCUGCGAUAAGCGUCGGUAAGGUGAUAUGAACCGUUAUAACCGGCGAUUUCCGAAUGGGGAAACCCAGUGUGAUUCGUCACACUAUCAUUAACUGAAUCCAUAGGUUAAUGAGGCGAACCGGGGGAACUGAAACAUCUAAGUACCCCGAGGAAAAGAAAUCAACCGAGAUUCCCCCAGUAGCGGCGAGCGAACGGGGAGCAGCCCAGAGCCUGAAUCAGUGUGUGUGUUAGUGGAAGCGUCUGGAAAGGCGUGCGAUACAGGGUGACAGCCCCGUACACAAAAAUGCACAUACUGUGAGCUCGAUGAGUAGGGCGGGACACGUGGUAUCCUGUCUGAAUAUGGGGGGACCAUCCUCCAAGGCUAAAUACUCCUGACUGACCGAUAGUGAACCAGUACCGUGAGGGAAAGGCGAAAAGAACCCCGGCGAGGGGAGUGAAAAAGAACCUGAAACCGUGUACGUACAAGCAGUGGGAGCACGCUUAGGCGUGUGACUGCGUACCUUUUGUAUAAUGGGUCAGCGACUUAUAUUCUGUAGCAAGGUUAACCGAAUAGGGGAGCCGAAGGGAAACCGAGUCUUAACUGGGCGUUAAGUUGCAGGGUAUAGACCCGAAACCCGGUGAUCUAGCCAUGGGCAGGUUGAAGGUUGGGUAACACUAACUGGAGGACCGAACCGACUAAUGUUGAAAAAUUAGCGGAUGACUUGUGGCUGGGGGUGAAAGGCCAAUCAAACCGGGAGAUAGCUGGUUCUCCCCGAAAGCUAUUUAGGUAGCGCCUCGUGAAUUCAUCUCCGGGGGUAGAGCACUGUUUCGGCAAGGGGGUCAUCCCGACUUACCAACCCGAUGCAAACUGCGAAUACCGGAGAAUGUUAUCACGGGAGACACACGGCGGGUGCUAACGUCCGUCGUGAAGAGGGAAACAACCCAGACCGCCAGCUAAGGUCCCAAAGUCAUGGUUAAGUGGGAAACGAUGUGGGAAGGCCCAGACAGCCAGGAUGUUGGCUUAGAAGCAGCCAUCAUUUAAAGAAAGCGUAAUAGCUCACUGGUCGAGUCGGCCUGCGCGGAAGAUGUAACGGGGCUAAACCAUGCACCGAAGCUGCGGCAGCGACGCUUAUGCGUUGUUGGGUAGGGGAGCGUUCUGUAAGCCUGCGAAGGUGUGCUGUGAGGCAUGCUGGAGGUAUCAGAAGUGCGAAUGCUGACAUAAGUAACGAUAAAGCGGGUGAAAAGCCCGCUCGCCGGAAGACCAAGGGUUCCUGUCCAACGUUAAUCGGGGCAGGGUGAGUCGACCCCUAAGGCGAGGCCGAAAGGCGUAGUCGAUGGGAAACAGGUUAAUAUUCCUGUACUUGGUGUUACUGCGAAGGGGGGACGGAGAAGGCUAUGUUGGCCGGGCGACGGUUGUCCCGGUUUAAGCGUGUAGGCUGGUUUUCCAGGCAAAUCCGGAAAAUCAAGGCUGAGGCGUGAUGACGAGGCACUACGGUGCUGAAGCAACAAAUGCCCUGCUUCCAGGAAAAGCCUCUAAGCAUCAGGUAACAUCAAAUCGUACCCCAAACCGACACAGGUGGUCAGGUAGAGAAUACCAAGGCGCUUGAGAGAACUCGGGUGAAGGAACUAGGCAAAAUGGUGCCGUAACUUCGGGAGAAGGCACGCUGAUAUGUAGGUGAAGUCCCUCGCGGAUGGAGCUGAAAUCAGUCGAAGAUACCAGCUGGCUGCAACUGUUUAUUAAAAACACAGCACUGUGCAAACACGAAAGUGGACGUAUACGGUGUGACGCCUGCCCGGUGCCGGAAGGUUAAUUGAUGGGGUUAGCGCAAGCGAAGCUCUUGAUCGAAGCCCCGGUAAACGGCGGCCGUAACUAUAACGGUCCUAAGGUAGCGAAAUUCCUUGUCGGGUAAGUUCCGACCUGCACGAAUGGCGUAAUGAUGGCCAGGCUGUCUCCACCCGAGACUCAGUGAAAUUGAACUCGCUGUGAAGAUGCAGUGUACCCGCGGCAAGACGGAAAGACCCCGUGAACCUUUACUAUAGCUUGACACUGAACAUUGAGCCUUGAUGUGUAGGAUAGGUGGGAGGCUUUGAAGUGUGGACGCCAGUCUGCAUGGAGCCGACCUUGAAAUACCACCCUUUAAUGUUUGAUGUUCUAACGUUGACCCGUGAUCCGGGUUGCGGACAGUGUCUGGUGGGUAGUUUGACUGGGGCGGUCUCCUCCUAAAGAGUAACGGAGGAGCACGAAGGUUGGCUAAUCCUGGUCGGACAUCAGGAGGUUAGUGCAAUGGCAUAAGCCAGCUUGACUGCGAGCGUGACGGCGCGAGCAGGUGCGAAAGCAGGUCAUAGUGAUCCGGUGGUUCUGAAUGGAAGGGCCAUCGCUCAACGGAUAAAAGGUACUCCGGGGAUAACAGGCUGAUACCGCCCAAGAGUUCAUAUCGACGGCGGUGUUUGGCACCUCGAUGUCGGCUCAUCACAUCCUGGGGCUGAAGUAGGUCCCAAGGGUAUGGCUGUUCGCCAUUUAAAGUGGUACGCGAGCUGGGUUUAGAACGUCGUGAGACAGUUCGGUCCCUAUCUGCCGUGGGCGCUGGAGAACUGAGGGGGGCUGCUCCUAGUACGAGAGGACCGGAGUGGACGCAUCACUGGUGUUCGGGUUGUCAUGCCAAUGGCACUGCCCGGUAGCUAAAUGCGGAAGAGAUAAGUGCUGAAAGCAUCUAAGCACGAAACUUGCCCCGAGAUGAGUUCUCCCUGACUCCUUGAGAGUCCUGAAGGAACGUUGAAGACGACGACGUUGAUAGGCCGGGUGUGUAAGCGCAGCGAUGCGUUGAGCUAACCGGUACUAAUGAACCGUGAGGCUUAACCUUACAACGCCGAAGGUGUUU